UAUGAUCUGAAGUCAGGUGGGGAUUAC
Molecule: ribosomal RNA, 27 nt
Filed under: Rhizopus arrhizus
Lineage: Eukaryota; Fungi; Mucoromycota; Mucoromycetes; Mucorales; Rhizopodaceae
Description: Rhizopus oryzae partial 28S large subunit ribosomal RNA
Source: RNAcentral